GGCCCCAUCGUCUAGUCAGGUCCAGGACGUCAGGUUCUCAUCCUGAAAACCGGGGUUCGAAUCCCCGUGGGGUCA
This 75-nucleotide transfer RNA is filed under the name Planctomycetota bacterium. Its description in RNAcentral is "Planctomycetes bacterium tRNA-Glu". It matches the Rfam family "tRNA". From Rfam's summary of the family: Transfer RNA (tRNA) molecules are approximately 80 nucleotides in length. Their secondary structure includes four short double-helical elements and three loops (D, anti-codon, and T loops). Further hydrogen bonds mediate the characteristic L-shaped molecular structure. tRNAs have two regions of fundamental functional importance: the anti-codon, which is responsible for specific mRNA codon recognition, and the 3' end, to which the tRNAs corresponding amino acid is attached (by aminoacyl-tRNA synthetases). tRNAs cope with the degeneracy of the genetic code in two manners: having more than one tRNA (with a specific anti-codon) for a particular amino acid; and 'wobble' base-pairing, i.e. permitting non-standard base-pairing at the 3rd anti-codon position. Lineage: Bacteria; Pseudomonadati; Planctomycetota. The record is from RNAcentral. RNAcentral also lists the same sequence under 3 other names.